This 790-nucleotide ribosomal RNA is filed under the name Ruegeria sp. Dec07-MA-6BB-4. RNAcentral describes it as "bacterial SSU rRNA". It matches the Rfam family "Bacterial small subunit ribosomal RNA", at positions 49 to 885 of the family's 1533-position model. The record is from RNAcentral. Lineage: Bacteria; Pseudomonadati; Pseudomonadota; Alphaproteobacteria; Rhodobacterales; Roseobacteraceae.
UAACACAUGCAAGUCGAGCGCGCCUUUCGGGGUGAGCGGCGGACGGGUUAGUAACGCGUGGGAAUAUGCCCUUUGGUACGGAAUAGCCUCUGGAAACGGAGAGUAAUACCGUAUGAGCCCUUCGGGGGAAAGAUUUAUCGCCAAAGGAUUAGCCCGCGUUAGAUUAGGUAGUUGGUGGGGUAAUGGCCUACCAAGCCUACGAUCUAUAGCUGGUUUUAGAGGAUGAUCAGCAACACUGGGACUGAGACACGGCCCAGACUCCUACGGGAGGCAGCAGUGGGGAAUCUUGGACAAUGGGGGCAACCCUGAUCCAGCCAUGCCGCGUGAGUGAUGAAGGCCUUAGGGUCGUAAAGCUCUUUCGCCUGUGAAGAUAAUGACGGUAGCAGGUAAAGAAACCCCGGCUAACUCCGUGCCAGCAGCCGCGGUAAUACGGAGGGGGUUAGCGUUGUUCGGAAUUACUGGGCGUAAAGCGCACGUAGGCGGAUCGGAAAGUUGGGGGUGAAAUCCCGGGGCUCAACCCCGGAACUGCCUCCAAAACUAUCGGUCUAGAGUUCGAGAGAGGUGAGUGGAAUUCCAAGUGUAGAGGUGAAAUUCGUAGAUAUUUGGAGGAACACCAGUGGCGAAGGCGGCUCACUGGCUCGAUACUGACGCUGAGGUGCGAAAGUGUGGGGAGCAAACAGGAUUAGAUACCCUGGUAGUCCACACCGUAAACGAUGAAUGCCANUCGUCGGGUAGCAUGCUAUUCGGNGACACNCCUAACGGAUUAAGCGUUCCGCCGUGGGGAGUACGG